UUAACGGCGCUUAUAAGCGCCACUAUAGGCCCAAAAAAAUGCCG
Non-coding RNA from Gossypium arboreum, 44 nucleotides. The record is from Rfam. NCBI's taxonomy places the organism in Eukaryota, Viridiplantae, Streptophyta, Magnoliopsida, Malvales, Malvaceae.